This 29-nucleotide non-coding RNA is filed under the name Homo sapiens (human). Lineage: Eukaryota; Metazoa; Chordata; Mammalia; Primates; Hominidae. The record is from RNAcentral.
UNGUGCUGUCAGCGGUCCACUGGGAGGAA